AGAAUCAACGCUGGCGGCGUGCCUAACACAUGCAAGUCGCACGAGAAAGGGACUUCGGUCCUAAGUAAAGUGGCGCACGGGUGAGUAACACGUGAAUCAUCUACCUCCGAGUGGGGAAUAACCUAGAGAAAUCUGGGCUAAUACCGCAUAACACUUACGAGUCAAAGCAGCAAUGCGCUUGGAGAGGAGUUCGCGGCAGAUUAGUUAGUUGGCGGGUAAUGGCCCACCAAGACGAUGAUCUGUA
RNAcentral lists this ribosomal RNA (244 nucleotides) under uncultured bacterium. RNAcentral's name for it is "partial small subunit ribosomal RNA". It matches the Rfam family "Bacterial small subunit ribosomal RNA", at positions 26 to 285 of the family's 1533-position model. The record is from RNAcentral.